AGGGGUGUAGCCAAGUUGGUUAAGGCAUCGGACUUUGAUUCCGACAUCGGGGGUUCAAAUCCCUCCACCCCCGCCA
Molecule: transfer RNA, 76 nt
Filed under: Alteromonas mediterranea
Lineage: Bacteria; Pseudomonadati; Pseudomonadota; Gammaproteobacteria; Alteromonadales; Alteromonadaceae
Also listed under: 1 other name
Description: tRNA-Gln
Rfam family: tRNA
About the family: Transfer RNA (tRNA) molecules are approximately 80 nucleotides in length. Their secondary structure includes four short double-helical elements and three loops (D, anti-codon, and T loops).
Source: RNAcentral